GCCUAGAGGUUAUUAAGAGAAAUAUUUGCUGGUUUGUGUGCCUUUUGCUUCAUGCUAUAACGAUUAUGAUAAAAAACCUUUGAUAACCGAAAAGAGGGGAUCUUUGGUAUAAUUAUAUUGAGGUAUUCUGGGCGUGUAGCUAGGAAAAUUAUACUAAUGGGGUGAAAAAUUAGUCGUUCCUCUUUAUAUCUGUUUAUCGGGUUGUUAGUUAUAAAGUUAAUUAGCAAGAAAGUUAAUUAAUGUGUUAUACAACGAAAAUAUAUUCUUUGCAACUGAGGUUAAAAUUACCUCUGUAUAAUAAAUUUGUUAUAAAGUUAAUAAAUUUGUGGGCGUUGUUAAGUAUAAACCCCGAGGUAUAAACUGUAUUCUAGAUAUAAUGUUAUAAUAAGUAAUUUUAUUACCCUCCUUCAUUCUCAAGGAUAGCCCAUCUGUUUAUCAAAAACAUUUCUAUAUGUGAAUAUUAUAUAGUAAGACCUGCCCAAUGUUUACAUGAAUGGCCGCAGUAUAUUGACUGUGCGAAGGUAGCAUAAUUAAUUGCCCCAUAAUUGGGGGCUUGUUUGAAUGGUUUAAUGAGGUUGUACCUAAGAUGGUGGGUUUUAUUGAAAUUAAUAUUAUGGGUUCAGAAUCCAUAGUGUUUAGUUAGACGGAAAGACCCCGGGAUCUUUUAAUUUUAUCUGGGGCAGAUGUGUAUAGUUUAUAUAUUUUUUGAUCCUUAGGGACAUAGGUUUAAGUUACCCCGGGGAUAACAGUGUAAUAAUUUAGGAAAGUUCCCAUCAAUUAAAUUGCUUGCCACCUCGAUGUUGACUUAAGCUAUCGCCGGGGCGCAGUUGCUCGGGUGUUUGGUCUGUUCGACCAAUAAAGCUUCCAUGAGUUGAGUUAAGACCGGCGUAAGCCAGGUCGGUUCUUAUCUACUUUUCUAGCUAUUUAGUACGAAAGGACCAAUAGCUAUUUUAGU
This 955-nucleotide ribosomal RNA is filed under the name Didymobothrium rudolphii. RNAcentral's name for it is "16S ribosomal RNA". It matches the Rfam family "Bacterial large subunit ribosomal RNA", at positions 562 to 2708 of the family's 2925-position model. The record is from RNAcentral. Lineage: Eukaryota; Metazoa; Platyhelminthes; Cestoda; Spathebothriidea; Acrobothriidae.